CCUACGAUAUUCUAAUACCGCCAGAAGAAGAAGUAAUAAAAGUAGAUAGGUUCAGCAUAAUAAAUAAAAAUCUACUUCACCGAUUAAGAUGUUUUUAUAGAAACGGUAAUUAGGUUAGAAUGCCUAGAAGAACCGACCCCCCUCAACCUGAGCCAGAACCGGAAACACCAGUCUUUAGGGGUACUCAAUCUCCUCCGAUCUGUCCCUUUGAGGAAACACAUCCAUUUGAGCAAACUCAUACAUCAUCUGUCGAAGAUAUUAGGAUUCGGAUGGACCGAUUCGAACAAAGACAAGAACGGCUUGAACAUCGACAAGAUCAAAUCCUAUCUGAGCUGCAGCAAAUUCAUCAACAAUUUGACUCUUUAUUUAGGCACUUUAAUUUUCCACCUCAUGAAUGAGCUUGUAUGAACACAAUCAUCUGUUGUUGUUGUAAACUCUUUAUAUUACUCACCAUGAUGGACUUUACCUUGAUCCUUGAUAUGGUUACCUGAUAUAUUUUUCUUGUGAGCAUAUGCAGAGUUACAAACUUCUCUCAUUGUUUAUCUCGGAUUUUACAUUGAAACUAAAUGUUUUGAAAACCUUG
RNAcentral lists this long non-coding RNA (583 nucleotides) under Musa acuminata (dwarf banana). RNAcentral's name for it is "long non-coding RNA (MACU_LNC009416)". Lineage: Eukaryota; Viridiplantae; Streptophyta; Magnoliopsida; Zingiberales; Musaceae. The record is from RNAcentral.